Molecule: ribosomal RNA, 611 nt
Filed under: uncultured Acidobacteriota bacterium
Lineage: Bacteria; Pseudomonadati; Acidobacteriota
Description: bacterial SSU rRNA
Rfam family: Bacterial small subunit ribosomal RNA
Source: RNAcentral
AGAGUUUGAUCAUGGCUCAGAAUCAACGCUGGCGGCGUGCCUAACACAUGCAAGUCGAACGAGAAAGCGGGGGCAACCCCGUGAGUACAGUGGCGAACGGGUGAGUAACACGUGACUAACCUGCCUUCGAGCGGGGGAUAACCCCGGGAAACCGGGGCUAAUACCGCAUAACAUCCCAGGGUGAAACUCCUUGUGAUCAAAUGCGCAAGCAGCUUGAAGAGGGAGUCGCGCCUGAUUAGCUAGUUGGUGAGGUAACGGCUCACCAAGGCGAUGAUCAGUAGCCGGCCCGAGAGGGCGCACGGCCACACUGGAACUGAAACACGGUCCAGACUCCUACGGGAGGCAGCAGUGGGGAAUUUUGCGCAAUGGGGGAAACCCUGACGCAGCAACGCCGCGUGGAGGAUGAAGUCCCUUGGGACGUAAACUCCUUUCGACCGGGACGAAUAAAUGACGGUACCGGUGGAAGAAGCCCCGGCUAACUUCGUGCCAGCAGCCGCGGUAAUACGAGGGGGGCGAGCGUUGUUCGGAAUUAUUGGGCGUAAAGGGCGCGUAGGCGGUGCGGUAAGUCACCUGUGAAACCCCCGGGCUCAACUCGGGGCCUGCAGGCGAAA